This 829-nucleotide long non-coding RNA is filed under the name Callithrix jacchus (white-tufted-ear marmoset). Its description in RNAcentral is "lncRNA (ENSCJAG00000070389.1)". Lineage: Eukaryota; Metazoa; Chordata; Mammalia; Primates; Cebidae. The record is from RNAcentral.
GGAAGCGGGUCAGGGUCUGCAAGCCAACGGCCCAGCUCAGCGGACUGGUCCGGCUGCUCAGCUAGGCAGCCAGCGUCCGUGCCCGCAACGCGGUUGCCUUCCCCUGGGCUGGAGAGUGGGGACGUCCCUCCCCCGCCCCCAGGCGUCCCUAGGGUCGGCGCCAGAGCCCUGGAGCCCCGGAGACUUUCUCUGGAGGAAGGCGAGGCGGGCUCUGGGUCCUCUCCCAGCCAGGCCGAGCUUAGCAUGUGGAGGUGGCGCGGGAGCGCGGGCAUGGACCAAGGGAAGGGGGACCCCCAAACCGCACUGGUGCUUUCCUUUCCCUCCACUCGCGCCGUAGCCCUCCCCAAAUUGCCCGUCUCCGGUAGGACUGACUCUGCCUGCCUGGCCUCUCAGCUACCAACUUUGCCCGAAAUCUAGAUCCCAGACCUGACCGACAUCAAGCAAGCAAACAUUUCUUCAACUCACAAGAGACAUCAGUUCAGGUCACAGAUACUUUUGCCAGAAAUGUAUGUAUAUAUUUAAAACAUUUAGAUCACUGCUAUGAAACCCACUGUACCGUUUUGAUCCUUUUAUGCUAAAGAUUUUUGUUGUUGCUGUUGUUUUGAGACAGAGUCUUGCUCUGCCAUCCAGGCUGGACUGCAGUAGUGCAGUCAUAGCUUACUGUAGCGCGGACUUCAUAGGGCCAACUAAUCCUCUCACCUCAGCCUCCCAAGUAGGUGGGACUAAAGAAUGGAGCAGUCUCUCCCUAACCUCCCACAUUGCACAGCUGCUGAUGAGCCUUGUAAUUAAUGAAAAUUUGCCAACAGUUGCACACUCAUUGACGUUCUGA